RNAcentral lists this unclassified non-coding RNA (163 nucleotides) under uncultured fungus. RNAcentral's name for it is "partial contains 18S rRNA, ITS1, 5.8S rRNA, ITS2 and 28S rRNA". The record is from RNAcentral. Lineage: Eukaryota; Fungi.
AAGGAUCAUUACAAAUCUUUUGCGAGUGCUGCGUGCGUAACUGCGCGUAGUAUUUCACAACAUUAGCACAAGGUCGCAAGGCCUUGAUGUUUACGCUUGUUUGUUUGACAGAGUUAGUUGAGACAAAAAAAGACAACUUUUAACAAUGGAUCUCUUGGCUCUU